CCCUAGUAACGGCGAGUGAAGAGGGAAGAGCCCAAGAUUGAAAGCUGGCGCCUUCGGCGUCCGCAUUGUAAUCUCAAGAAGUGUUUUCCGCUUCGGACCAUGCCUAAGUCCCUUGGAAAAGGGCAUCAUAGAGGGUGAUAAUCCCGUACAUGGCAUGGAGCGCCCGAAGCUUUGUGAUACACUUUCUAAGAGUCGAGUUGUUUGGGAAUGCAGCUCAAAAUGGGUGGUAAAUGCCAUCUAAGGCUAAAUAUUGGGGAGAGACCGAUAGCGAACAAGUACAGUGAUGGAAAGAUGAAAAGAACUUUGAAAAGAGAGUUAAACAGUACGUGAAAUUGCCAAAAGGGAAGGGUAGGAGGUCAAACAUGCUUGUCGGGAUUUAUCUCGGUUUGCAGGCCAACGUCGGUUUUGGGCACUGGAGAAGGGUAGGAGGAACGUGGCACCUCUCGGGGUGUGUUAUAGCCUCCUACUGGAUACAGCGACCGAGACCGAGGACAGCAGCGUACUCGCAAGAGCGGGCCCUCGGGCACCUUUACGCUUAGGGCGUUGGCAUAAUGGCCCUCUACCACCCGUCUUGA
Molecule: ribosomal RNA, 575 nt
Filed under: Macalpinomyces bursus
Lineage: Eukaryota; Fungi; Basidiomycota; Ustilaginomycetes; Ustilaginales; Ustilaginaceae
Description: LSU rRNA
Rfam family: Eukaryotic large subunit ribosomal RNA
Source: RNAcentral